UACGUAGGGGGCAAGCGUUGUCCGGAAUCAUUGGGCGUAAAGAGCGUGUAGGCGGCCCGGUAAGUCCGCUGUGAAAGUCCAGGGCUCAACCCUGGGAUGCCGGUGGAUACUGUCGGGCUCGAGUCCGGAAGAGGAGUGUGGAAUUCCUGGCGUAGCGGUGAAAUGCGCAGAUAUCAGGAGGAACACCGGUGGCGAAGGCGGGUCUCUGGGCCGAUACUGACGCUGAGGAGCGAAAGCGUGGGGAGCGAACAGG
Molecule: ribosomal RNA, 253 nt
Filed under: uncultured bacterium
Lineage: Bacteria
Description: partial 16S ribosomal RNA
Rfam family: Bacterial small subunit ribosomal RNA
Source: RNAcentral